CAAAAAUAUUUGAAAAAUUUGGAACGCCGCAUAUUUUACAUACGGACGGAAUCGAGAGCUUUCGAAUUGUUCUGUUUUCUGUAUGGUCAACUUUUCUGGAGAAGCAAGCUGCAUGAUACAGGUUUAUCAUCAGUCAUUUGACUAUGGCCAUGCUGGAGCACCACCUUAAAGGGUUUUAGUUGAAGAAAUCGAUCCCAGGAUUUAUUCUUUGUAAGCCUAGUACUUAUUCUAUUAGUCUCUUUUGCUGAACUG
Molecule: long non-coding RNA, 252 nt
Organism: Octopus bimaculoides (California two-spot octopus)
Lineage: Eukaryota; Metazoa; Mollusca; Cephalopoda; Octopoda; Octopodidae
Source: RefSeq, a predicted model, not a curated record